Molecule: non-coding RNA, 29 nt
Filed under: Cricetulus griseus (Chinese hamster)
Lineage: Eukaryota; Metazoa; Chordata; Mammalia; Rodentia; Cricetidae
Source: RNAcentral
UGUAAUCCUGAGGAGGCAGAAGCAGGACU